UACAGAGGGUGCAAGCGUUAAUCGGAAUUACUGGGCGUAAAGCGUGCGUAGACGGUUAUGUAAGUCAGAUGUGAAAGCCCCGGGCUCAACCUGGGAAUUGCAUUUGAGACUGUGUAGCUAGGGUGCGGAAGAGGGAAGCGGAAUUUUCGGUGUAGCGGUGAAAUGCGCAGAUAUCAGGAGGAACACCAGUGGCGAAGGCGCCGCUCUGGGCCGUAACUGACGCUGAGAAGCGAAAGCGUGGGGAGCAAACAGG
Molecule: ribosomal RNA, 253 nt
Filed under: uncultured bacterium
Lineage: Bacteria
Description: partial 16S ribosomal RNA
Rfam family: Bacterial small subunit ribosomal RNA
Source: RNAcentral